AGUGAACGCUGGCGGUAGGCCUAACACAUGCAAGUCGAACGGCAGCACAGUAAGAGCUUGCUCUUACGGGUGGCGAGUGGCGGACGGGUGAGGAAUACAUCGGAAUCUACUUUUUCGUGGGGGCUAACGUAGGGAAACUUACGCUAAUACCGCAUACGACCUACGGGUGGAAGCAGGGGAGCUUCGGACCUUGCGCGAUUGAAUGAGCCGAUGUCGGAUUAGCUAGUUGGCGGGGUAAAGGCCCACCAAGGCGACGAUCCGUAGCUGGUCUGAGAGGAUGAUCAGCCACACUGGAACUGAGACACGGUCCAGACUCCUACGGGAGGCAGCAGUGGGGAAUAUUGGACAAUGGGCGCAAGCCUGAUCCAGCCAUACCGCGUGGGUGAAGAAGGCCUUCGGGUUGUAAAGCCCUUUUGUUGGGAAAGAAAAGCAGCAGGUUAAUACCCCGCUGUUCUGACGGUACCCAAAGAAUAAGCACCGGCUAACUUCGUG
Molecule: ribosomal RNA, 492 nt
Filed under: uncultured bacterium
Lineage: Bacteria
Description: partial 16S ribosomal RNA
Rfam family: Bacterial small subunit ribosomal RNA
Source: RNAcentral